Orbicella faveolata is the source of this 12259-nucleotide long non-coding RNA. The record is from RefSeq and is a predicted model, not a curated record. Lineage: Eukaryota; Metazoa; Cnidaria; Anthozoa; Scleractinia; Merulinidae.
AGCAAGAUCUAAAACCAUAGUGCGCUAAGAAGAAUUUGUCAGAGAGCAAGGAUCCACGCAGAUCUUUGGGCGAGAAGUUUUACGUGAGUCAGGCUUACUUCUGUUUCUUAGUGAAUAGUUAAAAACUGAUUAUCCUAGAUGCACGUGGUUGUUUUAGUUUUCAUCGGAGUUCAGAGUUAUAAGCACACAAUCGAUCCUGUGAUCGAGUCAGUCUUCUUUCAUCGUCUCUUAUUUUGCAUUUUGUGUUGAGAUGACUGUUAAAAUCGUGGCAUUGUGAUUUCAAUGGUGUUCCUUGGCGGAUCACACGUCGCUGAGUACAUGUGUCAGAACAAAUUAUUCUUGCAGCACUGUAGUUGUCUUGUAUACAUAAGUAAGCAGAUCCUCUCCUCAUUAGCAAGUUGAUUUAGUUUAUUUGGAAACCACAUUCGGUGAAUUGUAGAAAAUGUCUCUGCCUUGAGUUUAUUAUGAUGAACAAAAGUGUUCGUGUGAAGACGUUGUUGGGAUGGUGACUUUUGCUGUAAAAUUACUUACAAGUUCAGAAAGCAGAAUUCUUUGAUUUUAGAAAGCCUAGAAAAAUUAUUUAUAUUUUAAGAUUGGUGCAGGCUUUUGUUAGCAAAAAUGGAAUUUUCAAAUCAAGGCUUACCCUAUCAGUUUUUGAGGCUUGUGUCUCAUAGAGUGGAGACUACAGCAUUUAGACACUCUAUUCGUGUGGGAGAGACAUGUGACUGUUGUAUGAAGCUCUUGAACAACUAGUAUACCAGUUGUUUGAUAUAUUGUCUUUGACAGGAACUUAAUACACCAUUUAACAUUUUCAAAAAGGGUACAUUCUCUGGAAACUGGAGCUAUGUUAAAUUAAAGCCAACGUUAUUGAAUGGAAGUUAUACAGUGUCGUACAUAUUAGGAUGGUGGGGGAAAGGGGGAGCUAACUUAUCGCAAAACCGAAGUGAAAUUUAUACAAUGUUGUACAUACAUUUUACUUGCUAGAUAGAUUGGCAACCCAUCAGUGUGUCACCUGCAUAACUGUGCGCACGAGAUAAUUAUUAAAGUACACAUGGCAGAUCAAAUUCCACCCUUACCAGGGAAAUUUUAGAAGGGCAAAAAUGUCCUGCUGUGCUGUAGAUUUUUUUUUUGCAUUACGUAAGUAUGCAGAUUUGCCGAAGACUGUAUUUCCUGUGGGUUGGUUAGAAAAUAAUUUAGUUUGGAAAUAGAGGCCAUCAGGAACCAUAUACUUUAUUUUUAGACGUUCAGGCUUUGAUUGGAAAAAAUGGAAUUUCAGCAUCAAGGCAUGUUUACAGGAUGUCGUAAAACCAGCAACCUUUCAAUUAGCGAGUUGUUUGUGUGCAUUCUACAGUGGGGUAAAGCAAUUGUGAGGGAGUUUAAUGGUGUUUAAUUUUUUUGGGUUUGUACAGACCUUUCACAUUCGAGUUUAAAAAAAAGUAAGUUUAUGUAUGCAUGAAUGUCAAUGGAAAAAAGAAACCAAAAGAAUGUUGAAAAGAAACCAUUCCGAAGUGGAAACUCUCAUGGAGAAUGCAAAAUUUGGUGGAAACAUAAGCCAUACCUAUGUUAGUGAAUGGAAGUUAUAGGAUGUUAUACAUAUAUUGAACUUGCUCCACACAUUAGCAAGUCAUUAGUGUGUCUUAUUUUUAGCCGACUAAAUCCACAGCUUUUCAAGUGUUACACCAUUCAGGAUUACUUUCGUUUCUUAGUGUUAAUAGUUACAGAUGGUUAAAGACUGAUUGAUGUAAUAAGAUAUCCUAGAUGCACCUGGUGGUUUUUAACUUUUAUCCUAGUUCGGAGUUAUAAGCACACAAUCACUUGAAAUGUCCCUGUGGAAAUGAUGGAUCCCAAAGUGAUCAUGGUGUUAUUACUGUUCUUACUGUUUUUAAGUUAUUAUGAUUAUAUUUAUUUGUUUGUUUUGAAAUAUUCACUUCAUGGGUGCCUUUUUCAUUUCAGAUCGUUGGGUUUCAUGGCACAGGAGCUGUAGUGAGAUGUUUUGAGGAUAGAAAAGAGAAUGAACAUGACCUGAUUUUUCAAAUCGGCAAUGUUUGAGAUUUUUUCCCAAAAUGUCCUCAAGAAAAUAAAAAGAAGAAAAAAAGGGCAUACCAAUGUCUAAGGUAAGUCUCUGAACAUUCAGAAUAAUAGAAUACUGAUACUCUUUCUAGGUUAAGAGAAAUGGUAAUGACAAACACGCCAGCCCCACGCAGUUUUAAAAAUGGACCUUGCAUUUUCUAUCAAAUUUGCCAUAUUGGACGCACGUAUUUCCUCAGACUGGUGACUCAUUUAAUGAUUACCUAACGACCUAUUUUCAGAGGCUUUUCACAUAAACUUUAUUGGACAAAGACUAUAAAUAUAGAUACAGAUAAGAAUAUCAAUGAAAUGAAUAAAGCCCAAAAGGAGAGGGCUCGAACAGGACACUGAGACCCAUGUGAGGCACCUACCCAUCGUGUAGACUUCAUUUUGGUCAAAAUUAUAUGGUGAAAGGAUUUUAAACUGACAACAAAAAACGGUGAACCAUGUGGAUGGAAAAACUGAAAUUUUAAUAGUCAAGUUAGAAAAGUACCUUGAAAACAGAUUUCACAACUACAAUGGGACAUUCAAGUAGCGAAGAAUGACCUGAUUCUGUAGAAAAUAAAGAAGUUCUGCAAGGUGAAAUCUAGGUAGUUAAAUAUUAAGCUUUUUGUGCGCUUCAAUGCAACCGCACGAGACACAGCUGACAGCAACUUUCAUAUGAUGUGAGUAAAGAAUUUCUCCCUAGCUGAUGUGACAAUAUUGUGUGCGAGGUAUUCUUCAGUUAUGUUUGCUUUUCAUGACAACAGUUUUGUUGAUUUUUUUUGUUCGUUUGUUCACAAGAUUGCUUGGCGUUUCUUACAGGAUUGCUUGGCAGCAAGAACAGAUGUCUAACCAUGGUGAGGAGGUAGGGGUUUAAACUGUAUUUACUUUCAGUAUCUAACUUCGUUUUGCUAUCUCGUAUCUACACCAGGUUCGCUUUUCCUAGGCUAACGAUCAGGAGCAGAUGUCCGCCAUGGUGAGGAGGUAGGGUUCGAAUGCAACAAACGACAAUUGAAUUGCUCUUUACUGCAACUGUAUCUUUAUUUAUUUUCUUACUUAACUUCAUUUUACCAUCUCUUAUCUACAUCUCGUUUGUUUUUUCUAGGUUAAUGAGGAGGAGCAGAUGUCUAGUCAUGGUGAAGAGGUAAGGGUUUAAAUGGAACAAAAUACAAUUGUAUUGCUCUUUAUGACAACUGUAGCUGUAUUUAUUUUCUGUAUCUUACUUCGUUUUACCAGCUCUUAGUUUUCCACUACGUACCAUGAAAGUAAAUGCAAUAAAGAAGUGAUUGUUAAAUCAUGCCAUUGGGUUUCAACAGCGGUUCUCGGCUGAUCGCACAUCGCAGUCGGGAUUGCGACAGUGCAAAAAAAUUACAACAGCAAGAUCUAAAACCAUAGUGCGCUAAGAAGAAUUUGUCAGAGAGCAAGGAUCCACGCAGAUCUUUGGGCGAGAAGUUUUACGUGAGUCAGGCUUACUUCUGUUUCUUAGUGAAUAGUUAAAAACUGAUUAUCCUAGAUGCACGUGGUUGUUUUAGUUUUCAUCGGAGUUCAGAGUUAUAAGCACACAAUCGAUCCUGUGAUCGAGUCAGUCUUCUUUCAUCGUCUCUUAUUUUGCAUUUUGUGUUGAGAUGACUGUUAAAAUCGUGGCAUUGUGAUUUCAAUGGUGUUCCUUGGCGGAUCACACGUCGCUGAGUACAUGUGUCAGAACAAAUUAUUCUUGCAGCACUGUAGUUGUCUUGUAUACAUAAGUAAGCAGAUCCUCUCCUCAUUAGCAAGUUGAUUUAGUUUAUUUGGAAACCACAUUCGGUGAAUUGUAGAAAAUGUCUCUGCCUUGAGUUUAUUAUGAUGAACAAAAGUGUUCGUGUGAAGACGUUGUUGGGAUGGUGACUUUUGCUGUAAAAUUACUUACAAGUUCAGAAAGCAGAAUUCUUUGAUUUUAGAAAGCCUAGAAAAAUUAUUUAUAUUUUAAGAUUGGUGCAGGCUUUUGUUAGCAAAAAUGGAAUUUUCAAAUCAAGGCUUACCCUAUCAGUUUUUGAGGCUUGUGUCUCAUAGAGUGGAGACUACAGCAUUUAGACACUCUAUUCGUGUGGGAGAGACAUGUGACUGUUGUAUGAAGCUCUUGAACAACUAGUAUACCAGUUGUUUGAUAUAUUGUCUUUGACAGGAACUUAAUACACCAUUUAACAUUUUCAAAAAGGGUACAUUCUCUGGAAACUGGAGCUAUGUUAAAUUAAAGCCAACGUUAUUGAAUGGAAGUUAUACAGUGUCGUACAUAUUAGGAUGGUGGGGGAAAGGGGGAGCUAACUUAUCGCAAAACCGAAGUGAAAUUUAUACAAUGUUGUACAUACAUUUUACUUGCUAGAUAGAUUGGCAACCCAUCAGUGUGUCACCUGCAUAACUGUGCGCACGAGAUAAUUAUUAAAGUACACAUGGCAGAUCAAAUUCCACCCUUACCAGGGAAAUUUUAGAAGGGCAAAAAUGUCCUGCUGUGCUGUAGAUUUUUUUUUUGCAUUACGUAAGUAUGCAGAUUUGCCGAAGACUGUAUUUCCUGUGGGUUGGUUAGAAAAUAAUUUAGUUUGGAAAUAGAGGCCAUCAGGAACCAUAUACUUUAUUUUUAGACGUUCAGGCUUUGAUUGGAAAAAAUGGAAUUUCAGCAUCAAGGCAUGUUUACAGGAUGUCGUAAAACCAGCAACCUUUCAAUUAGCGAGUUGUUUGUGUGCAUUCUACAGUGGGGUAAAGCAAUUGUGAGGGAGUUUAAUGGUGUUUAAUUUUUUUGGGUUUGUACAGACCUUUCACAUUCGAGUUUAAAAAAAAGUAAGUUUAUGUAUGCAUGAAUGUCAAUGGAAAAAAGAAACCAAAAGAAUGUUGAAAAGAAACCAUUCCGAAGUGGAAACUCUCAUGGAGAAUGCAAAAUUUGGUGGAAACAUAAGCCAUACCUAUGUUAGUGAAUGGAAGUUAUAGGAUGUUAUACAUAUAUUGAACUUGCUCCACACAUUAGCAAGUCAUUAGUGUGUCUUAUUUUUAGCCGACUAAAUCCACAGCUUUUCAAGUGUUACACCAUUCAGGAUUACUUUUGUUUCUUAGUGUUAAUAGUUACAGAUGGUUAAAGACUGAUUGAUGUAAUAAGAUAUCCUAGAUGCACCUGGUGGUUUUUAACUUUUAUCCUAGUUCGGAGUUAUAAGCACACAAUCACUUGAAAUGUCCCUGUGGAAAUGAUGGAUCCCAAAGUGAUCAUGGUGUUAUUACUGUUCUUACUGUUUUUAAGUUAUUAUGAUUAUAUUUAUUUGUUUGUUUUGAAAUAUUCACUUCAUGGGUGCCUUUUUCAUUUCAGAUCGUUGGGUUUCAUGGCACAGGAGCUGUAGUGAGAUGUUUUGAGGAUAGAAAAGAGAAUGAACAUGACCUGAUUUUUCAAAUCGGCAAUGUUUGAGAUUUUUUCCCAAAAUGUCCUCAAGAAAAUAAAAAGAAGAAAAAAAGGGCAUACCAAUGUCUAAGGUAAGUCUCUGAACAUUCAGAAUAAUAGAAUACUGAUACUCUUUCUAGGUUAAGAGAAAUGGUAAUGACAAACACGCCAGCCCCACGCAGUUUUAAAAAUGGACCUUGCAUUUUCUAUCAAAUUUGCCAUAUUGGACGCACGUAUUUCCUCAGACUGGUGACUCAUUUAAUGAUUACCUAACGACCUAUUUUCAGAGGCUUUUCACAUAAACUUUAUUGGACAAAGACUAUAAAUAUAGAUACAGAUAAGAAUAUCAAUGAAAUGAAUAAAGCCCAAAAGGAGAGGGCUCGAACAGGACACUGAGACCCAUGUGAGGCACCUACCCAUCGUGUAGACUUCAUUUUGGUCAAAAUUAUAUGGUGAAAGGAUUUUAAACUGACAACAAAAAACGGUGAACCAUGUGGAUGGAAAAACUGAAAUUUUAAUAGUCAAGUUAGAAAAGUACCUUGAAAACAGAUUUCACAACUACAAUGGGACAUUCAAGUAGCGAAGAAUGACCUGAUUCUGUAGAAAAUAAAGAAGUUCUGCAAGGUGAAAUCUAGGUAGUUAAAUAUUAAGCUUUUUGUGCGCUUCAAUGCAACCGCACGAGACACAGCUGACAGCAACUUUCAUAUGAUGUGAGUAAAGAAUUUCUCCCUAGCUGAUGUGACAAUAUUGUGUGCGAGGUAUUCUUCAGUUAUGUUUGCUUUUCAUGACAACAGUUUUGUUGAUUUUUUUUGUUCGUUUGUUCACAAGAUUGCUUGGCGUUUCUUACAGGAUUGCUUGGCAGCAAGAACAGAUGUCUAACCAUGGUGAGGAGGUAGGGGUUUAAACUGUAUUUACUUUCAGUAUCUAACUUCGUUUUGCUAUCUCGUAUCUACACCAGGUUCGCUUUUCCUAGGCUAACGAUCAGGAGCAGAUGUCCGCCAUGGUGAGGAGGUAGGGUUCGAAUGCAACAAACGACAAUUGAAUUGCUCUUUACUGCAACUGUAUCUUUAUUUAUUUUCUUACUUAACUUCAUUUUACCAUCUCUUAUCUACAUCUCGUUUGUUUUUUCUAGGUUAAUGAGGAGGAGCAGAUGUCUAGUCAUGGUGAAGAGGUAAGGGUUUAAAUGGAACAAAAUACAAUUGUAUUGCUCUUUAUGACAACUGUAGCUGUAUUUAUUUUCUGUAUCUUACUUCGUUUUACCAGCUCUUAGUUUUCCACUACGUACCAUGAAAGUAAAUGCAAUAAAGAAGUGAUUGUUAAAUCAUGCCAUUGGGUUUCAACAGCGGUUCUCGGCUGAUCGCACAUCGCAGUCGGGAUUGCGACAGUGCAAAAAAAUUACAACAGCAAGAUCUAAAACCAUAGUGCGCUAAGAAGAAUUUGUCAGAGAGCAAGGAUCCACGCAGAUCUUUGGGCGAGAAGUUUUACGUGAGUCAGGCUUACUUCUGUUUCUUAGUGAAUAGUUAAAAACUGAUUAUCCUAGAUGCACGUGGUUGUUUUAGUUUUCAUCGGAGUUCAGAGUUAUAAGCACACAAUCGAUCCUGUGAUCGAGUCAGUCUUCUUUCAUCGUCUCUUAUUUUGCAUUUUGUGUUGAGAUGACUGUUAAAAUCGUGGCAUUGUGAUUUCAAUGGUGUUCCUUGGCGGAUCACACGUCGCUGAGUACAUGUGUCAGAACAAAUUAUUCUUGCAGCACUGUAGUUGUCUUGUAUACAUAAGUAAGCAGAUCCUCUCCUCAUUAGCAAGUUGAUUUAGUUUAUUUGGAAACCACAUUCGGUGAAUUGUAGAAAAUGUCUCUGCCUUGAGUUUAUUAUGAUGAACAAAAGUGUUCGUGUGAAGACGUUGUUGGGAUGGUGACUUUUGCUGUAAAAUUACUUACAAGUUCAGAAAGCAGAAUUCUUUGAUUUUAGAAAGCCUAGAAAAAUUAUUUAUAUUUUAAGAUUGGUGCAGGCUUUUGUUAGCAAAAAUGGAAUUUUCAAAUCAAGGCUUACCCUAUCAGUUUUUGAGGCUUGUGUCUCAUAGAGUGGAGACUACAGCAUUUAGACACUCUAUUCGUGUGGGAGAGACAUGUGACUGUUGUAUGAAGCUCUUGAACAACUAGUAUACCAGUUGUUUGAUAUAUUGUCUUUGACAGGAACUUAAUACACCAUUUAACAUUUUCAAAAAGGGUACAUUCUCUGGAAACUGGAGCUAUGUUAAAUUAAAGCCAACGUUAUUGAAUGGAAGUUAUACAGUGUCGUACAUAUUAGGAUGGUGGGGGAAAGGGGGAGCUAACUUAUCGCAAAACCGAAGUGAAAUUUAUACAAUGUUGUACAUACAUUUUACUUGCUAGAUAGAUUGGCAACCCAUCAGUGUGUCACCUGCAUAACUGUGCGCACGAGAUAAUUAUUAAAGUACACAUGGCAGAUCAAAUUCCACCCUUACCAGGGAAAUUUUAGAAGGGCAAAAAUGUCCUGCUGUGCUGUAGAUUUUUUUUUUGCAUUACGUAAGUAUGCAGAUUUGCCGAAGACUGUAUUUCCUGUGGGUUGGUUAGAAAAUAAUUUAGUUUGGAAAUAGAGGCCAUCAGGAACCAUAUACUUUAUUUUUAGACGUUCAGGCUUUGAUUGGAAAAAAUGGAAUUUCAGCAUCAAGGCAUGUUUACAGGAUGUCGUAAAACCAGCAACCUUUCAAUUAGCGAGUUGUUUGUGUGCAUUCUACAGUGGGGUAAAGCAAUUGUGAGGGAGUUUAAUGGUGUUUAAUUUUUUUGGGUUUGUACAGACCUUUCACAUUCGAGUUUAAAAAAAAGUAAGUUUAUGUAUGCAUGAAUGUCAAUGGAAAAAAGAAACCAAAAGAAUGUUGAAAAGAAACCAUUCCGAAGUGGAAACUCUCAUGGAGAAUGCAAAAUUUGGUGGAAACAUAAGCCAUACCUAUGUUAGUGAAUGGAAGUUAUAGGAUGUUAUACAUAUAUUGAACUUGCUCCACACAUUAGCAAGUCAUUAGUGUGUCUUAUUUUUAGCCGACUAAAUCCACAGCUUUUCAAGUGUUACACCAUUCAGGAUUACUUUUGUUUCUUAGUGUUAAUAGUUACAGAUGGUUAAAGACUGAUUGAUGUAAUAAGAUAUCCUAGAUGCACCUGGUGGUUUUUAACUUUUAUCCUAGUUCGGAGUUAUAAGCACACAAUCACUUGAAAUGUCCCUGUGGAAAUGAUGGAUCCCAAAGUGAUCAUGGUGUUAUUACUGUUCUUACUGUUUUUAAGUUAUUAUGAUUAUAUUUAUUUGUUUGUUUUGAAAUAUUCACUUCAUGGGUGCCUUUUUCAUUUCAGAUCGUUGGGUUUCAUGGCACAGGAGCUGUAGUGAGAUGUUUUGAGGAUAGAAAAGAGAAUGAACAUGACCUGAUUUUUCAAAUCGGCAAUGUUUGAGAUUUUUUCCCAAAAUGUCCUCAAGAAAAUAAAAAGAAGAAAAAAAGGGCAUACCAAUGUCUAAGGUAAGUCUCUGAACAUUCAGAAUAAUAGAAUACUGAUACUCUUUCUAGGUUAAGAGAAAUGGUAAUGACAAACACGCCAGCCCCACGCAGUUUUAAAAAUGGACCUUGCAUUUUCUAUCAAAUUUGCCAUAUUGGACGCACGUAUUUCCUCAGACUGGUGACUCAUUUAAUGAUUACCUAACGACCUAUUUUCAGAGGCUUUUCACAUAAACUUUAUUGGACAAAGACUAUAAAUAUAGAUACAGAUAAGAAUAUCAAUGAAAUGAAUAAAGCCCAAAAGGAGAGGGCUCGAACAGGACACUGAGACCCAUGUGAGGCACCUACCCAUCGUGUAGACUUCAUUUUGGUCAAAAUUAUAUGGUGAAAGGAUUUUAAACUGACAACAAAAAACGGUGAACCAUGUGGAUGGAAAAACUGAAAUUUUAAUAGUCAAGUUAGAAAAGUACCUUGAAAACAGAUUUCACAACUACAAUGGGACAUUCAAGUAGCGAAGAAUGACCUGAUUCUGUAGAAAAUAAAGAAGUUCUGCAAGGUGAAAUCUAGGUAGUUAAAUAUUAAGCUUUUUGUGCGCUUCAAUGCAACCGCACAAGACAUAGCUGACAGCAACUAUAGUAUGAUGUGAGUAAAGAAUUUCUCCCUAGCUGAUGUAACAAUAUUGCGUGCGAGGUAUUCUUCAGUUAUGUUUGCUUUUCAUGACAACAGUUUUGUUGAUUUUUUUUUUGUUUGUUCACAAGGUUGCUUGGCAUUUCUUACAGGAUUGCUUGGCAGCAAGAACAGAUGUCUAACCAUGGUGAGGAGGUAGGGGUUUAAACUGUAUUUAGUUUCGGUAUCUAACUUUGUUUUGCUAUCUCAUAUCUACACCACAUUCGCUUUUCCUAGGCUAACGAUCAGGAGCAGAUGUCCAGCCAUGGUGAGGAGGUUAAUGAGCAGGAGCAGAUGUCUAGUCAUGGUAAGGAGGUUAAUGAGGAGGAGCAGAUGUCUAGUCAUGGUGAAGAGGUAAGGGUUUAAAUGAAACAAAAUACAAUUGUAUUGCUCUUUAUGACAACUGUAGCUGUAUUUAUUUUCUGUAUCUAACUUUGUUUUACCAGCUCUUAGUUUUCCACUACGUACCAUGAAAGUAAAUGCAAUAAAGAAGUGAUUGUUAAAUCAUGCCAUUGGGUUUCAACAGCGGUUCUCGGCCGAUCGCACAUCGCAGUUGGAAUUGCGACAGUGCAAAAAAAUUACAAUAGUCUAUUUAUCUGUUCACCUCCUUGUUGUAAUUCUUGUGAUAAUUGUGUCAGUUGAGCAAAACAAGAGGGAGCUUUUAUUACCACACCAUCAACUACCUGGUAUGAGCCCAGAAUAAAAUGAAAUCGUGGAAUUCGUCACAGUUGUCCCAAUUAGUUGUUGCACUUUACAACAAUGCAUGCAGAAGUGAUGACAUUUAACUGUCAUUUCCAAGAUUCUGUCUGGAAAAUUGGAAAAUAAACAAAUGGAUGCUUAAACCAUCCUCCUACCCAGCAUCUUUGCUCCCUUUGACCAGUUCAUUUUGUCAAGCCAGCAUACACAGUAAUGAAGACUCAAGGUACAAUAUUGAUGCUUAAACGUAAGACAUGGGUUGCACUGUGGACUUUUUUGUUUUUUGUCACACAAGUUUGUCGGGGCAUUUACCCUAAGAGGGGUCACACGUUUGCGACAUAAAAGAUAUAUGGUGUCAUUCUGAUCAUAAUCAUUAUAAUGUCGGCCCAAAGCUGAAAAGGACUUUCUCAUCACUAAAGCAUCAUCACUUGCUUUGGCUACACUUUUCUUUUAAGACAUCUUCUCUCCCGAGGAUGCUUCUUUGUGAAACUGAAGGCUGCUCUAGACUGGGAGGUAAUGACAAAGCUGCUUGUGACUGUGCGUUUUGCUGCUGAAAACAAAUCGGCUGCAAGUCAUUUCCAAUAUGCUACGAAAACUGAAAGCCUUGAAAUUCAUACGGGUUAAAGUGGUUGGCCAUACUGAAGAAUUACAAUUGAUUGUGACAAUUGGGAAAAUGUUGAAGAGCUCUGUACACAUGAUGUGCGCUUGUGUUGUGAUAUCUAAUUUAAUUGCAGAAUUUCAGAUUUUAUUGAUAUUGUCACAAAAGAAAAUAAAAAAUUUUUUAAGGCCAUUAGGCAAGAUGUGACCUGCUUCAUGACAGAAUAUCAGUCUCUUUGACCUUAAGGCAUCACGGACAUAGUUAUGUCUGAUGUGAUCGCGAUAUAAGGGUCGCACAUGUCGCGAGCAUGCGAUGACAGAAUUUAUGUCCAAUGUAAACAUUGAUCCUGUUCAUUUUUGCUAGAGAGCCACAGCAAGCUGAGUUUCCAUCGCAAGUGGAAACAGCCGAAGUCAAAAGGGAAACCUAAACACCCAGUGAAAGUCCAUGUUUGGGCAGGCAUAUCAAAGAGGGGGCCAACAGAAUUCAUGGAGUUUGAAGGCAACAUGGACGUGCAGUUUUGUCUCUGAUCUCCUCAGCAAUGGGCUGCCACCAUUUAUCCGAAGAACCUUCCCUGACGGUCAUCGAUUCCAACAAAACGAUAACCUGAAGCAUACCAGCCAUCUUGCCACCAACUUCAUGGAAGACUACAGGAUCAACUGGUGGAAAACCCCUUCUGAGUCACCAGAUCUUAACCCCAUUGAUACGCUUUGGCACGAGCGAAAGCACUUCCUUAGAAACAUCAUAAAACCGAGAACAAAGGAAGAGCUAAUCAAUGGGAUAGAAAGAUUUUGGAAUGAGAGAAUGGAUGCAGAAAAGUGUACGAAGUAUAUCAGGCACUUGCACAAAGUCUUGCCGAUAGUUGUUGAGCAGCAGGGAAAACCUUCCAGAAACUAGUUCCCGGCUGCACUCUUCAGACACUGACAAAAACAACUCCUUUAGGAGGCACUUCUAAUAGAAGUGAUGACCAACACUGUCCAGUACAUGUAAUCCCAUGAGAGAACAUUAAGUCAAAUUCUUAGUUUCAUUAUUAAUAGAAACUUUGAAUUCUCCAGGACAUUCGAUUGAAUCGAAACCUGGCCAUUUCUGUUUCUUCCUUUUUUUCGUUUGUAAGGAAACACAUGCAGAAUAACAUUUAUGACAACCAUGGUGUUUAUGUUGAUAAGUAAGAAAAUAACAGUGGUGACAUGAAUUUAUCACACUUUCUGCCGACCAUGUUUGAACUCACAUAUUUCCAAGGGAUACUCAGUAGAUGGCUGUAUAUUUAGGUUUUCUAUCAUCUUUGUUACCCAGACUGUGAAAGCUUUUAAGGGACACUUAAUCAAACAUAUUUUAAAUGUUAAUAAUGUAAAUUCUUAAUAUUC